UUCAUUUUGUGCCUUGGAGUGGUGGAGGAACAACAGCAUGAAAUAUAAAGUUUUAUCGAAGAUGGCUGCUGAUGUACUUGCGAUUCCAAUAUCAACGGUAGCUUCAGAGUCUACAUUUAGUGCUGGAGGUAGAAUUAUAGAUGAAUAUCGUUCAAGAUUGAAUGAAGAAUCUAUUGAGACACUAAUUUGUGGAGGAGAUUGGCUUCGACAUAAAUACAACUUGAAAAAAAAGAAGGUGAAUGAGUCUUUGAAGGAGAUAAGCUUAUAGAUUAAAGAAGUUCUUUAAUACUUUGGUUGCGGAGUGGAAAUGCUAAUGUCCAGAAGAUAUUAUUGAUCUAUUUGCUAUUUUUCUCUUGAAACUUUUAUUGUAUUG
Long non-coding RNA from Andrographis paniculata, 373 nucleotides. RefSeq lists it as uncharacterized. The transcript is spliced from 3 exons. The record is from RefSeq and is a predicted model, not a curated record. NCBI's taxonomy places the organism in Eukaryota, Viridiplantae, Streptophyta, Magnoliopsida, Lamiales, Acanthaceae.